This 465-nucleotide ribosomal RNA is filed under the name uncultured Klebsiella sp. Its description in RNAcentral is "bacterial SSU rRNA". It matches the Rfam family "Bacterial small subunit ribosomal RNA", at positions 338 to 795 of the family's 1533-position model. Lineage: Bacteria; Pseudomonadati; Pseudomonadota; Gammaproteobacteria; Enterobacterales; Enterobacteriaceae. The record is from RNAcentral.
CCUACGGGUGGCAGCAGUGGGGAAUAUUGCACAAUGGGCGCAAGCCUGAUGCAGCCAUGCCGCGUGUGUGAAGAAGGCCUUCGGGUUGUAAAGCACUUUCAGCGGGGAGGAAGGCGGUGAGGUUAAUAACCUCAUCGAUUGACGUUACCCGCAGAAGAAGCACCGGCUAACUCCGUGCCAGCAGGCGCGGUAAUACGGAGGGUGCAAGCGUUAAUCGGAAUUACUGGGCGUAAAGCGCACGCAGGCGGUCUGUCAAGUCGGAUGUGAAAUCCCCGGGCUCAACCUGGGAACUGCAUUCGAAACUGGCAGGCUAGAGUCUUGUAGAGGGGGGUAGAAUUCCAGGUGUAGCGGUGAAAUGCGUAGAGAUCUGGAGGAAUACCGGUGGCGAAGGCGGCCCCCUGGACAAAGACUGACGCUCAGGUGCGAAAGCGUGGGGAGCAAACAGGAUUAGAUACCCGUGUAGUC